This 1147-nucleotide ribosomal RNA is filed under the name Aequorivita sp. CIP111184. RNAcentral describes it as "bacterial SSU rRNA". It matches the Rfam family "Bacterial small subunit ribosomal RNA", at positions 380 to 1533 of the family's 1533-position model. The record is from RNAcentral. Lineage: Bacteria; Pseudomonadati; Bacteroidota; Flavobacteriia; Flavobacteriales; Flavobacteriaceae.
AGCCUGAUCCAGCCAUGCCGCGUGCAGGAAGACGGCCCUAUGGGUUGUAAACUGCUUUUUUACGGGAAGAAACACCGCUACGUGUAGCGGCUUGACGGUACCGUACGAAUAAGGACCGGCUAACUCCGUGCCAGCAGCCGCGGUAAUACGGAGGGUCCGAGCGUUAUCCGGAAUCAUUGGGUUUAAAGGGUCCGUAGGCGGACGUCUAAGUCAGUGGUGAAAUUCUGCAGCUCAACUGUAGAACUGCCAUUGAUACUGGUCGUCUUGAAUCGUUGUGAAGUGGCUAGAAUAUGUAGUGUAGCGGUGAAAUGCUUAGAUAUUACAUAGAAUACCGAUUGCGAAGGCAGGUCACUAACAACGUAUUGACGCUGAUGGACGAAAGCGUGGGGAGCGAACAGGAUUAGAUACCCUGGUAGUCCACGCCGUAAACGAUGGAUACUAGCUGUCCGGCGCACAUUGGUGUGCUGGGUGGCCAAGCGAAAGUGAUAAGUAUCCCACCUGGGGAGUACGUUCGCAAGAAUGAAACUCAAAGGAAUUGACGGGGGCCCGCACAAGCGGUGGAGCAUGUGGUUUAAUUCGAUGAUACGCGAGGAACCUUACCAGGGCUUAAAUGUAGUCUGACAGAUUUGGAAACAGAUCCUUCUUCGGACAGAUUACAAGGUGCUGCAUGGUUGUCGUCAGCUCGUGCCGUGAGGUGUCAGGUUAAGUCCUAUAACGAGCGCAACCCCUGUUGUUAGUUGCCAGCGAGUCAUGUCGGGAACUCUAACAAGACUGCCGGUGCAAACCGUGAGGAAGGUGGGGAUGACGUCAAAUCAUCACGGCCCUUACGUCCUGGGCCACACACGUGCUACAAUGGCAGGUACAAUGGGCAGCCACUGCGCAAGCAGGAGCGAAUCCACAAAACCUGUCUCAGUUCGGAUCGGGGUCUGCAACUCGACCCCGUGAAGCUGGAAUCGCUAGUAAUCGGAUAUCAGCCAUGAUCCGGUGAAUACGUUCCCGGGCCUUGUACACACCGCCCGUCAAGCCAUGGAAGCUGGAAGCACCUGAAGUCCGUCACCGCAAGGAGCGGCCUAGGGUGAAGCUGGUAACUGGGGCUAAGUCGUAACAAGGUAGCCGUACCGGAAGGUGCGGCUGGAACACCUCCUUU